AUUAAAUAGAAGUAGAUAAAAAUAGAUCUAUUUUAUAAUAUUUUCUAAAAAGGCUUCUUAAAAGCUUCAGAUAUACUAUUUUGACUUUAUAUAUAUUCAUAGUUGAUUGGUAGGUUAGAAAAUUGGUCAAUAAGUUAACCACAUAUUGAUAGCUUGUGGAAUAAGUUGAUUAUGUAGCACUUAUAUAGAAAACUUGCCUUAUAAAUUGAAAUAUGUGUCUUAAAAAGUCAACAUAUUUUGGAGGUCUUAUAGGAUAUUAUUAUGUAGGUUCUAGUUAAGAAUAUAUAUGGAGGCAAGAGUGAAGCCUUUUUCAAUCUUAUUAAUGCCUUUUUAGUCCUAAGUCUUAUUUCAAGUCUUUUUAGUCUUCUUGUCUUUGAAAAUAGCUAUUUUAGUUCAAUACUAUAUCAUCUUUGAGUGAUUUUUAGUCUUUUUGAGUGACACAAGAGUGUAUUGAUAUUUUAUUUCUUUGAGGUUCAUGUCCUUG
RNAcentral lists this long non-coding RNA (484 nucleotides) under Physcomitrium patens. Its description in RNAcentral is "long non-coding RNA (PPAT_LNC001550)". Lineage: Eukaryota; Viridiplantae; Streptophyta; Bryopsida; Funariales; Funariaceae. The record is from RNAcentral.